Molecule: ribosomal RNA, 73 nt
Filed under: Kluyveromyces marxianus
Lineage: Eukaryota; Fungi; Ascomycota; Saccharomycetes; Saccharomycetales; Saccharomycetaceae
Description: partial 5.8S ribosomal RNA
Rfam family: 5.8S ribosomal RNA
About the family: 5.8S ribosomal RNA (5.8S rRNA) is a component of the large subunit of the eukaryotic ribosome. It is transcribed by RNA polymerase I as part of the 45S precursor that also contains 18S and 28S rRNA. Functionally, it is thought that 5.8S rRNA may be involved in ribosome translocation.
Source: RNAcentral
UGAAUCAUCAAAUCUUUGAACGCACAUUGCGCCCUCUGGUAUUCCAGGGGGCAUGCCUGUUUGAGCGUCAUUU